UGUUUAUUCAUACCCCCAUCAACAUUUGCGUGUUAGUACAGUCCGCUACCCCGCGAAAGUUUCAUAACAACUAUGGCGUCCGGAGCAGGCCGUCGUGGGAGAAAACGCAAAACUGAGGAUGAGGACGAGAAGCAGAAACCCGUCAAGGCAGCAAAAGAAGAAGCGGUGCCUGUGCUGCAAGGCCAAAGAGUGGUGAUUGAACACUGUAAGAGCUGACGAGUGUAUGGGCGUAAUGCCGAGGGGGUAAAAGCUGCCCUUUUGGCUGCACGCCCAGAACUGACUGUGGUCCUCAACCCCGAGAAGCCUCGCAGGAACAGCUUUGAGAUCACUCUCAUAGAGGGAGGCAAAGAAACACCUCUCUGGACAGGAAUAAAAAAAGGGCCUCCUCGUAAACUCAAAUUUCCAGAACCUGAUGUUGUAGUUUCUGCUCUACUGGAGGCUGUCGGUGCUGACUACCGGUAGAUGCUUCGAGAAGACUUACGAGCAAAAGUGUGAGAUACCAGCGCAAGAUGCUGAGAGCAAACAACUCAAAUCAUAACAUGCAGCAGUAAUUGUUCAUGGGUGUGGCUUGUGGAAGCAGAAUGAUGAGGAGUGACCAAACUGAAUGCAGUCUCUCCUCUGAUGAACCAAGCUUUUCCAGCUCAUGCAUAUGAACAUUUGGUGACAUCUACUGGACCAUUAUAGAACAAACACAUCCGUUACCACACUGUUGUGCGUUUGUAGUUUAGAGUACCAAGUGUGACAUUUAUGGUAUUUUUACUGUUUUUCUCCACUCUCUCGAAAUAAAAUACUUACUUUUUUGCAUUUUUUUCAUGUUAUUGGAUUGUUUAUAUGACUUGGAAUUAAGCAGUGUACACGACGAACCCAAUGCUACUUAAUGACGGAUAAUGUCGUCAAAAGACGUUUAGAUGUGCAGCAUAUCUCAACUAUCUUAAUUAUUUUUAUACUAUUAAAAGGACAUUACAAGUUUA
Hippocampus zosterae (dwarf seahorse) is the source of this 971-nucleotide RNA transcript. It is a transcript of the gene named selenoprotein H, with no coding region annotated. NCBI's taxonomy places the organism in Eukaryota, Metazoa, Chordata, Actinopteri, Syngnathiformes, Syngnathidae. The record is from RefSeq and is a predicted model, not a curated record. The transcript is spliced from 6 exons.